GGCCUUCGGGUCCGCAUUGUAAUUUGUAGAGGAUGCUUUGGGUGAAACGCCAGUCUAAGUUCCUUGGAACAGGACGUCAUAGAGGGUGAGAAUCCCGUAUGUGACUGGAAAUGUUAACCUAUGUAAAGCUCCUUCGACGAGUCGAGUUGUUUGGGAAUGCAGCUCUAAAUGGGAGGUAAAUUUCUUCUAAAGCUAAAUAUUGGCGAGAGACCGAUAGCGCACAAGUAGAGUGAUCGAAAGAUGAAAAGCACUUUGGAAAGAGAGUUAAAAAGCACGUGAAAUUGUUGAAAGGGAAGCGCUUGCAAUCAGACUUGUUUAAACUGUUCGGCCGGUCUUCUGACCGGGUUACUCAGUUUGGGCAGGCCAGCAUCAGUUUCGGCGGCCGGAUAAAGGCUCUGGGAAUGUGGCCUUCACUUCGGUGAAGGUGUUAUAGCCCAGGGUGUAAUACGGCCAGCCGGGACUGAGGUCCGCGCUUCGGCUAGGAUGCUGGCGUAAUGGUUGUAAGCGAC
Molecule: ribosomal RNA, 509 nt
Filed under: Aureobasidium melanogenum
Lineage: Eukaryota; Fungi; Ascomycota; Dothideomycetes; Dothideales; Saccotheciaceae
Description: partial 28S ribosomal RNA
Rfam family: Eukaryotic large subunit ribosomal RNA
Source: RNAcentral